AUGGAUGUAAAACCUUUUCCUUUGCUAUCUUUUUCUAUAAAAGAGAACACCCCCGAACCUCCUCGUUUAGGACAGGAGAUCUGCACACACUACACUCAGGGUGGGACCCUCCUUCUGGAUGGGCCAAAGGUCUUUGAAAUGAUGCUGAUCGAGUUUGGAAGGGCAAUCCAGACCCUGAACCCUAUGGUGACUCAACAGUGGAUGGAUGAAGUAGAUGAUGAUCAUGACAAACGCCUGAACAUGGCGGAGUGUGCCAAACUCAUCCAGAGAGUGUCUGAUUCCAUUCAGAGGCCUCCGCAAUAAAGAAGCCACAUCUACUGACUUAAGUAACUUGUGCUUGUGUACGGAAGUAGACAUGAAGAAAAAUAAGAUUUCUCAAGCACUUAUUUAGUAGGUCUGUAGCUUAAUAAACAACUGUAAGGCAUCACUCAAAAUUUAAAUGUAGCAAUGUAUUGUUUUAGAAAUUACUUUAAAACAUGGAAUUAAAGAAUUUUAGCCAAAAAUGAAAAAAAUAAAAAUGCCUC
Molecule: long non-coding RNA, 524 nt
Organism: Cyprinus carpio (common carp)
Lineage: Eukaryota; Metazoa; Chordata; Actinopteri; Cypriniformes; Cyprinidae
Source: Ensembl